GCUCCCGUGGUGUAGUCCGGAUUAAGGAAGUCCACAUAUGUGGUUGUUCUUUAAGGAUAACCAAUCAUUUCGGAUUUUCGAUCCGAAGACCUGGGUUCAAAGUGGUGAAAGAAAAAAUCUUAACCAUGGGCGUCCCGGCGGGAGCA
This 146-nucleotide transfer RNA is filed under the name Candidatus Woesearchaeota archaeon. RNAcentral describes it as "tRNA-Glu". The record is from RNAcentral. Lineage: Archaea; Nanobdellati; Candidatus Woesearchaeota.